AGGGGUGGGAAGAAGGUGGUACUGGAUGAGGGGAAGAUUGAGGGAGGUUAGGGGGAGGAGCCGAAGCGGACGCUGCCGGGAGCGUGCGUCGUGACGUCAUCAAAAGAACUCUUAUAUACAGGAGCCCAGGCACCAUACUGUCUUUUCGAGGUAGGAGUCGAGUACUGUAAGGUAUGGUGCUGGGUGCAGAUGCAGUGUGGCUCUGGAUAGCACCUUAUGGACAGUUGUGUCCCCAAGGAAGGAUGAGAAUAGCUACUGAAGUCCUAAACAGCAAGCCUAACUCAAGCCAUUGGCACACAGGCAUUAGACAGAAAGCUGGAAGUUGAAAUGGUGGAGUCCAACUUGCCUGGACCAGCUUAAUGGUUCUGCUCCUGGUAACGUUUUUAUCCAUGGAUGACUUGCUUGGGUAAGGACAUGAAGACAGUUCCUGUCAUACCUUUUAAAGGUAUGGAGAGUCGGCUUGACUACACUGUGUGGAGCAACUUUUAAAGAAGCAAAGGACUCAGAAUUCAUGAUUGAAGAAAUGCAGGCAGACCUGUUAUCCUAAACUAGGGUUUUUAACGACCACAACAAGCAAGCAUGCAGCUUACUGCUUGAAAGGGUCUUGCCUCACCCAAGCUGGAGUGCAGUGGCCUUUGAAGCUUACUACAGCCUCAAACUUCUGGGCUCAAGUGAUCCUCAGCCUCCCAGUGGUCUUUGUAGACUGCCUGAUGGAGUCUCAUGGCACAAGAAGAUUAAAACAAUGUCUCCAAUUUUAAUAAAUUUUUGCAAUCCA
Molecule: long non-coding RNA, 775 nt
Organism: Pan troglodytes (chimpanzee)
Lineage: Eukaryota; Metazoa; Chordata; Mammalia; Primates; Hominidae
Gene: GAS5
Exons: 12
Source: RefSeq, a predicted model, not a curated record